ACUUACUCUUUUGGUUCUCCGGUCCAUUUGACAACACUUUUUGGGCACUCAAAUUCGUAUUCCUUGGCCAAUUUUUAAAUUUUUCAUGCUGAUUUGAAGGCCAUUAAAGCAUUUGAACCAGUCGAAAAAUUUUAAGUUGUAUAUCUUUUACGGUUUUUGUGGGAAGUCGUGUUAAAGUUGAUGCCGUGGUGUUAGUAAAAUGGUACCCUUAUAAAAGCUCAGAUUUAUUUUCUGACAGAAAGCUAGAAAUAAUCCAAAAUAUCAAAAUUGUUCUACACUCAUUUUAAUGACAGUUCAUGACCUUAAAUUGCACGAGAAAUUUAUUAAACUCGGAUUCAGAGUUCCUUAUGCCUUAAACUUCAGGUUUUACCAAUGUGGCCCAGGUUAUCUCGUGUCAAAUGACUGAAAAAAGAACACCAACAAAAACCUGCCUCCAUUUAUAACUGACUAGAAACCCGCUAGUCGAAAGCUUUGUUCGAGGAAAUUAAAAAAAUUAUUUAUGUUUAAAUUUAUCUAGUCUCUUCACAUCACCAUUUAGCUCAAAGCUCUUUACUGUAGAAAGUAUGGAUUUUAUUUGACAAUGACGAAAACUUUGUAAGUAUUCGGUCAUCAAAAUGAGUUUAUAACAAGGUCGAUAUUUUGGUAAAUUUUUUUUCUGUCAUAAAUUGAAUUUGGGUUUCUAUAGGGGGUAAUAGAGAUAUACUACAGUACAGUACUUACAUUCACAUUCACAACCACGGGAGCUCACCUGGUCCAAUGAGCGCGAAACGGAGAACAAGCUCUGGAUACGUCACAGUCACGUGACCUCAGGCUCACAAUCACGUGACCUCAGACCCAAUCAACUGACUUCUGGCCUGGUCAGCCACUGGGAGACUUUGGGUCAGAAAACUGAUCCGGCCCCCAAGAGGGGUCAGAUCACGUCACUAAUUAAUGACGUAUAAUUAGUGAUGUGAUCCAUAGAUUGAAUAUAAUUAACACAGAAAUGGACUAGAUCUGGGGUAGAGUUCACAUGUCAAUUCUGUAAAUCAUAGCUGUACAUUAAGAAGUAAACAUGAUCUAACUGCUCGACUCGUAGAUCACAUAAGGGACGGGAGCUCUUGCUAAAGGAGGGUUCUCGUAUCAAGGGAUGUGAGACGUACUUGCCAAAGGCAUGUAAGGAGAGUGAGCCGAUCAAGUGUUCUUAGGUAUAUAUACUGGAAGAUAGUAGUAUCGCAGGUAGUAGUAUCGCAUUCUAUCAAAAGUCAUGCCUACCUUUUCUACACGACAUACCCAACAAAGAUUGAGUACUUGUUCGCUGUUGCGAAAUACUUUGGUAAUAAUAUUGAGUAAUUUGUUGUAUUCUGAAGUAUUAUAUAUACCAACCAAUACAUUGUCUCAAUUUAAAACAUCCAUGGAUCACAUCACUAAUUAUACGCCACAAGCUUCAAGCUUGCACGUUAAUUAAUUGAUGACGUAUAUUGUGGUCAUAUCACUUCUGACCCAAGGUCUGGCAGUCAGCUCCCUGUAAUUACAUGAUCUUGAGGUGACGUACGACACCUCGCUGCAAAUUUUCACAUGCCAAAAACGUAAGAUUCUUAAGGAGUUGUGCGAGAUGACGAUACAUAGAGGCCGCAGAAUCAUGAGGACUACCAGAUCCUCAUGGUUGAACCUAAGCGAUCCAUGAUAUCACGACAAGCCCUACUAUACGGCUACAGUAAACAAUGAUCAUUAUACUUUCUGCACCAGCAAUACACAAUAUCCAACUCAAAACAGGUAUCUAUUGUAAUUCGUGUUAUGAUGAUAAAAUUACACGUCAGUGUUGAAGGGUUGGGCGGGGUCAAUCAUGAGGCAAAAUGGUUUUCGUGCAUAGCCAGGCCUUGAAGGCCAAAAAGUUAGAAGGUGUGUUUUAAUUGUUUUAUCAACAAACAUUUCUGGCCACAGUUCAUACUUUCAUAGAGCAAUACUGUUUUAGAUUAUGUUAACAAUUUCUUAACCGUUGUAUCCACAAUCUGAAUUAUCAUAUCGAUACCAUUACCACCUUUCUUUCAUACUCAUGGAAUCAAUAUAACGAUCGCAAUACAGAUAUCAAGGAGCUAUGAUGAUGAUGAUGAAGAUUGUGGCAGUAUUUCUACUCGUGGCUGGAUUCAAUGCUCAAUCACAAACACCACCAUGUGUUAAUAAAUUUGACACUAUGAAUGGUUUUGAAAACAUGUGUAAUAUACAUACUACACUUGGGCAAGGAAACUGCCUAGGAGCAAAAGAAGAAACACUUAGAGAAAAUUGCGCUAAAGCUUGCGGUUUCUGCUAUUAGCUAACUGGGUGCUAAGUGCAGAUACCUCUAAUGAUGACGUGAUCACGUUAUACUUGCUCUAACAUGCAGUAGCGCGGGACCGCAGUACGCGUAGACACAUGUGUGAUCACGUGAUACCUGAUGGGUGGAGGUUACGAGGACAAUUAUUCAUUGUUAUCUUAAUCAAUGGGCACAAUAAGUUGAUUUCUGUAAUCAUAGCUUACAAUCUUAUAAUGUGUUUAAAACGAUUCCGUAUUACUAUACUAUUCUUCUAAACUGUAACAAUUUUCCUGUAUUUGAUGCUUUUAGCAUUUGAAUUUAA
Bolinopsis microptera is the source of this 2591-nucleotide long non-coding RNA. RefSeq lists it as uncharacterized. Lineage: Eukaryota; Metazoa; Ctenophora; Tentaculata; Lobata; Bolinopsidae. The record is from RefSeq and is a predicted model, not a curated record. The transcript is spliced from 2 exons.